RNAcentral lists this ribosomal RNA (396 nucleotides) under uncultured bacterium. Its description in RNAcentral is "bacterial SSU rRNA". It matches the Rfam family "Bacterial small subunit ribosomal RNA", at positions 29 to 454 of the family's 1533-position model. The record is from RNAcentral.
AACGAACGCUGGCGGCAGGCUUAACACAUGCAAGUCGAACGCUCCGCAAGGAGAGUGGCAGACGGGUGAGUAACACGUGGGAAUCUACCCUUUACUACGGAAUAACGCAUGGAAACGUGUGCUAAUACCGUAUGUGUCCUUCGGGAGAAAGAUUUAUCGGUAAAGGAUGAGCCCGCGUUGGAUUAGCUAGUUGGUGGGGUAAAGGCCUACCAAGGCGACGAUCCAUAGCUGGUCUGAGAGGAUGAUCAGCCACAUUGGGACUGAGACACGGCCCAAACUCCUACGGGAGGCAGCAGUGGGGAAUAUUGGACAAUGGGCGCAAGCCUGAUCCAGCCAUGCCGCGUGAGUGAUGAAGGCCCUAGGGUUGUAAAGCUCUUUCACCGGAGAAGAUAAUGA